This 398-nucleotide ribosomal RNA is filed under the name uncultured bacterium. RNAcentral describes it as "partial 16S ribosomal RNA". It matches the Rfam family "Bacterial small subunit ribosomal RNA", at positions 523 to 918 of the family's 1533-position model. The record is from RNAcentral.
AUACGUAGGGUGCGAGCGUUGUCCGGAAUUACUGGGCGUAAAGAGCUCGUAGGUGGUUUGUCGCGUCGUCUGUGAAAUUCCGGGGCUUAACUCCGGGCGUGCAGGCGAUACGGGCAUAACUUGAGUACUGUAGGGGAGACUGGAAUUCCUGGUGUAGCGGUGAAAUGCGCAGAUAUCAGGAGGAACACCGGUGGCGAAGGCGGGUCUCUGGGCUGUACCUGACGCUGAGGAGCGAAAGCAUGGGUAGUGACCAGGGUUAGAUACCCUGGUAGUCCAUGCCGUAAACGGUGGGCGCUAGGUGUAGGGGUCUUCCACGACUUCUGUGCCGUAGCUAACGCAUUAAGCGCCCCGCCUGGGGAGUACGGCCGCAAGGCUAAAACUCAAAUGAAUUGACGGGG